UCUGACCAGAGCCUUCUCGUCCACUGAUGGACUCCAUUACUCACGACGUCUGCCCAGCGACGUCUGCCCUGCUGGUUCACCCGCUUGCUGAGACACCUGCGGCCACAGCAUCAGUGUGAGCAGGGCUGUCACAUCAUGUGCAGUGUGCACGUUGCCCAGCCACGCUCUCCCAGCUCUGGCUCAGCAAGGGGACACUUUGCCCUCUUGUUUCAGCCCUCAUGCAGGAGAGCUCUGUUUUAUUUCAGUAUUUGUUGCAGAAAAUAAGGGGCCCCAACAGCAGUGCAAAGACCCUAGAGAGUUUCCACAGCCACUUCCCUUCAAGUGAAAAAUGCAGUUGGAUACGCUGAGAAGACGGAAGCCAGAGACCAAGGAUGAACAGCUGGAGUGGCUUGUGAGAAGGAGGUCCUGUGAGGACCACGGAUUCAGCAGGCAGUGCAUACUGGGCAAGAGCAGCUACAGGGACCUCUUGGUUUCCAGGUCUGAAUGCUCCUGAAAUCUACAAUUGUGUUUUUAAAUACUGGCUAUUUGAUCCUGGAAAUCUCAUAGGCAUUUUUUUCUUGUUGUUGUUCUAAAUUGUAAAAAUACUUAACAGGUGAUUCCCCCCCAAAAUCUUAAAUCCCAGAGGUAUCUUCAACUGAUGUCGUCCAAAGCUCAGCUCUUGUUCUCCCACCAGGUCUGCCCUCUCUCUAUCUGGAUUACCCGUUCAUUUGAUGAGUCUCUUCAGAUGGAAACUUCAAACUUCAUUUGAGAAACCCUCCUUCACUCAACCAACCAUCACAUUCUCUCGGUUCUACCCAUUAGUCUUGGUUCAGUUCUCCUUUCUAUGAUUUUGAAUUUUCUUAUUUUGCAUUUAUCUCGCUAUUCAUCUCAGCUCUUCGAAGGCAGGACCAUUGGGUGCUCAGACCCACCCUGUAUACAAGUGUAAACUCAGCAGUGGUGGGUGCUUCGCACGUACCUGGAGGCAGAACUUGUUGGCACUCGAGCUUUCUGUGUGACUCACCAGCUUCUGUAGAAGUCUCUAUUGUGGGACAUGAAACAAACACUGCGAGCUCCUCUUGGACCCAGCCUUGUUCCUACCGCAGAGGGGUGGUCUAGCAACGUUAUGAAUGAUAAAGGACUUUGGAAUCUCCUAACCAGAGUGUUAAAUUUAUUCCUAAGUAAAAUGUGUAAGAAUAUUUUUGAAGCAGUGAACUGUGGGAUUCCAUCACCAAUAAUAGCCAAAAAUCAACUUUUAAAACGAAUACCAUAAAGAAACACAAAAUUGUCAGCUAAAACCCUUACAGUGCAACAACCAUAUUACAAUCCUGUAAGAUUGAAGGCAUGUUUCUAAGUAUAUGUAUAGAGGUAUUAAUAUGACUAAUUUUGAAGUAUUAGUGGUGCUUAUCCCUUUGUGAUGUAAUUUUAUUUUAUAGCUUUUGGGGGGUACAUUUUGUUAAUUAAAAAUUUCUUACAAUGAGUACUUUUUGUUUUUCCACAACUAGUAAUGCUUUAAAAAAAUAUAUUGUAUCCCUUUAAUUGGUAAGGUACUUGCCAAACCCCUGAAAGGUCUCUUUGUCAUGUAAAAGAGGCAGAGUUGAUGAUUGUCCAAUACUUUAAGCAGCUCCUUUCAUCAGGAGUGUGAAUGGGUUGUAGCUUAACAGUUAGCAGAGUAAAGGAUGAAGUUGGAAAUUGAGUGUUACAAGUGAGUGGCAGGAAGGUUUAAACAGAAGAUCCAGUCUGUUAAUACUCUCUCUGUGUAUGUGGAUCGUGUGACACGCGGCAAACAGACUCAUCUGGAAAAAGACGCAAGGGAGAACCUUGAUUUCCAGAAGAACUGAUGUUGGAAUUAACUGAUGAUGGAAUUAACCUACAGGAUGAAAACCGAGGGAGCCCAGCAUCCAUCUGAAGAUGGAGAUCAGCUACAAAGGGAAGAUUCCAACAUCUGAAAUACUGAGGUAAUCCCAUUACAAACGGCGAUUACACAGCAUUGUCUGAGCCCUGCCUCCAGUCCUGCUUGAGGGGUCCUGACCGGUUGCACAGAAUAUGCUCCGUGCUGUGGCUCCUCUGGGUAAACUCAGAAAGGACAGAGUCACGUGAACAUGUCCUGGCAUCGUGGAUGGUGGAACAAAGUUUCCAAGCACCAAACCCUAAGGGAGAAAUACCGUUGUUUCCGUAGUGCACAGGCACCAUGGCGCACCUGGCUGUGAAGAGCUUACCCUCCCAGAUCAGGUCUGACCGACUGCAGCACAAGGUUUCAAGCUGCCGGGUGCAGUGGGGAGUUAGGGCCCUUCUCGCGCCCCUGCCCCCACCCAGACUUUUCAGAGGCUCCCAAAGGCAUGGGCGGCGGUGUAGUGAUUUUCACCACGGUUUUCUAAAUGUUCUAAAUUUCCCAUAACAAAUUCACUAUUUAUCAGAGAAAAAGGCUAUUAAAAGAAAACCAAAAAUUUUCA
Vicugna pacos (alpaca) is the source of this 2429-nucleotide non-coding RNA. NCBI's taxonomy places the organism in Eukaryota, Metazoa, Chordata, Mammalia, Artiodactyla, Camelidae. The record is from RefSeq and is a predicted model, not a curated record.